Long non-coding RNA from Cynocephalus volans (Philippine flying lemur), 1526 nucleotides. RefSeq lists it as uncharacterized. Lineage: Eukaryota; Metazoa; Chordata; Mammalia; Dermoptera; Cynocephalidae. The transcript has 2 exons. The record is from RefSeq and is a predicted model, not a curated record.
UGGAGAGGACUGAAGAAAGAGGGAAGAAGAGCGCAGCGGAGGGGCGGGGAAGGAGCGAGCCGUCUCCGUUAUGCAAAUAGAGUCGCGAAGACCGGGCGUGUUCCCUGCCACACGGCGCCCCAAACAGUCCCGGCCCUCCGGAGGUCGCUAGCGAGCGGGUUUGGGGUUAAAGGUGCCUGGUUGGAGAAAUGCGUGAUGCUGGGACCCUGCCUCCGCCCCCAAGGAGGGCUGACAGAGGACUGACGGGGAGGGGCAAUGCAGCGGCGCCUCAAUUUGAGGACCUCAAAUUCUGCCUCCACCCCCAACCCCCACCCUGCAUGCCCUGGAAAAUUAAAUGCAGCACUGUCCGGCUUUUUGUCUUAACAAGCGGACACUGUACAUCCUGGCUCUGCUACCGACUGACUGGGUGACCCUGAGCAAGUCACAUAACUUCGUCGAAGACUUGCAUUCUUAUUAUGUGUAAUAUGAAAGAUCAAAAUCUAUUUCACAGAGUUUGGCAAGAACCUCCUAACAUCGUGCGUGGCAAGUACAAGGCGCUCUCAAAAGGCAAAUAAGGAAGGGAAGGGUUGUCGUCAAAGCCCCGCAACACCAAGACUUCCACCCCAAGCUGUCUGCAGGCUUGCAGGUGUGCACACGGAGGCCUCAGGAGCAGAGAAUACAAGCCAGAAGACUAGCUUGGAAGCUGACAUCAGUGGAGCUAUAAUAAGAGCAUGAAUUGUGGCAAUGAAAUAAGGAAUGAAAAAGAACAUCUGAAUAAUAGCCUCCAUUUGGAGAGCAAAAGCACUUUGUUAUAUUGUCUCUCUUUAUCAUAAGAUAGGUGGUGGUUUAAUCCCUUUUUUAUGGAUGAGGAAACUGAAGUCACCUAGGAAGUGGAGAAGCCAGAAUUUGAGCUCUCUUCCACAUUCAUUGAAAGCCUUAAUUAUUUCUUUCAACAUCACUUUUAUGUAAACACUACUUAAGAACUAAGAACAAAUCUAUUUUAAAAAAGAAAAAGACCAGAAGGAAAAUUGCCAAAUGUUAGGAGUGGUUGUCUUUGGAUAAUGGGAUUUUUUUCUGUUUCUCUAUACUUUUCUUAUACUUCCCAAAGUGUCCUCAAUGUGUAUGCUUUAUUUUUAUAAUCAGAAUAAUAAAUAAAAUUUAAAUCACCACAUUGCUGAAGGCUAACCUGACCCUUCUGGUAAUUACUUAGAAAAUCAUCCCAUAAUAUGGUAAAACUGCAUUGCUUAAUAUGUUACUGUUAUGUGUAAAUUUAUAUGUCAAAUUCUAACUCCCAAGGCAGUGGUAUUAGGAAAUGGGACCUUUGAGGAGGUGAUUAGGUUAUGAGGGAAGAACCCUCAUCAAUAGGACUAUAGCCCUUAUAAAAGAGACCCCAGAGAGCUCCUUCCACCAUAUGAGGACACAGCUAGAAGGUACCACCUAUGAGCCAGAAAGUGAGCCCUCACUAGACACCAAAUCUGCCAUCAACUUAUCUUGGACUUACCAACCUCCAGAACUGUGAGCAAUAAAUUUCUGUUGUUUAUAAGCAA